Molecule: ribosomal RNA, 1020 nt
Filed under: Paraburkholderia caribensis
Lineage: Bacteria; Pseudomonadati; Pseudomonadota; Betaproteobacteria; Burkholderiales; Burkholderiaceae
Description: bacterial SSU rRNA
Rfam family: Bacterial small subunit ribosomal RNA
Source: RNAcentral
AGAUUGACGCUGGCGGCAUGCUUACACAUGCAAGUCGGACGGCAGCGCGGGGGCAACCUGGCGGCGAGUGGCGAACGGGUGAGUAAUACAUCGGAACGUGUCCUGGAGUGGGGGAUAGCCCGGCGAAAGCCGGAUUAAUACCGCAUACGCUCUGUGGAGGAAAGCGGGGGAUCUUCGGACCUCGCGCUCAAGGGGCGGCCGAUGGCAGAUUAGCUAGUUGGUGGGGUAAAGGCCUACCAAGGCGACGAUCUGUAGCUGGUCUGAGAGGACGACCAGCCACACUGGGACUGAGACACGGCCCAGACUCCUACGGGAGGCAGCAGUGGGGAAUUUUGGACAAUGGGGGCAACCCUGAUCCAGCAAUGCCGCGUGUGUGAAGAAGGCCUUCGGGUUGUAAAGCACUUUUGUCCGGAAAGAAAACCGCUUCUCUAAUACAGAGGCGGGAUGACGGUACCGGAAGAAUAAGCACCGGCUAACUACGUGCCAGCAGCCGCGGUAAUACGUAGGGUGCAAGCGUUAAUCGGAAUUACUGGGCGUAAAGCGUGCGCAGGCGGUUCGCUAAGACCGAUGUGAAAUCCCCGGGCUUAACCUGGGAACUGCAUUGGUGACUGGCGGGCUAGAGUAUGGCAGAGGGGGGUAGAAUUCCACGUGUAGCAGUGAAAUGCGUAGAGAUGUGGAGGAAUACCGAUGGCGAAGGCAGCCCCCUGGGCCAAUACUGACGCUCAUGCACGAAAGCGUGGGGAGCAAACAGGAUUAGAUACCCUGGUAGUCCACGCCCUAAACGAUGUCAACUAGUUGUCGGGUCUUCAUUGACUUGGUAACGAAGCUAACGCGUGAAGUUGACCGCCUGGGGAGUACGGUCGCAAGAUUAAAACUCAAAGGAAUUGACGGGGACCCGCACAAGCGGUGGAUGAUGUGGAUUAAUUCGAUGCAACGCGAAAAACCUUACCUACCCUUGACAUGUACGGAACCUUGCUGAGAGGUGAGGGUGCCCGAAAGGGAGCCGUAACACAGGUGCUG